RNAcentral lists this ribosomal RNA (291 nucleotides) under uncultured eukaryote. RNAcentral's name for it is "partial 18S ribosomal RNA". It matches the Rfam family "Eukaryotic small subunit ribosomal RNA", at positions 6 to 318 of the family's 1831-position model. The record is from RNAcentral.
GGUUGAUCCUGCCAGUCAUAUAUGCUUGUCUUAAAGAUUAAGCCAUGCAUGUCUAAGUAUAAACACUUGUACUGUGAAACUGCGAAUGGCUCAUUACACCAGUUAUAAUUUACUCAACGAUGCUUCUACAUGGAUAACCGUGGGAAACCAGAGCUAAUACAUGCGCAGGCGGGCAGCAAUGCCCCGUAUUUAUUAGGUACAGACCAACACACGUUGCGUUGAUUCACAGUAACUGCACGGAUCGCACGGCCUCGCGCCGGCGACAGGUUGACCAAAUUUCUGCCCUAUCAA